This is a long non-coding RNA of Pelobates fuscus (common spadefoot toad), 388 nucleotides long. RefSeq lists it as uncharacterized. The record is from RefSeq and is a predicted model, not a curated record. The transcript has 3 exons. NCBI's taxonomy places the organism in Eukaryota, Metazoa, Chordata, Amphibia, Anura, Pelobatidae.
CACCCUUUGGCAGCAAUUGAAAGAUGUUCUAUCAAAAUGGCCUCCAGCGUAAUUGGAACAAACUAAGAAGACUGUAACAUUUAUAGUACAACGACAACAAAGGCUUUCAGCAGAUGAAGCCACCAGGACCUGAAGAUGGAAUAAAGAGGAACAUGGCUGUGGAGAAGCUGGAUAGCCUCAGGUAAAUAAAUCUCUUAUUAUCCACUUUGCACAGCUGCCACCAUGCAAGUGGAUACAUCAUCUUGGCGAGUUUGUAGAAAAUACAAAGACCCCACAGAAGGUAUCCUGGAUCACAUUGAAAAAUUAUGGAAUCACCGGCAUCGCGGCUAUCUCCACUGCGACUACCGUUUUGUGGUGUCCCAGGAUCAUUGCAAGAUGUUGCUGUUGU